This is a long non-coding RNA of Labeo rohita (rohu), 427 nucleotides long. RefSeq lists it as uncharacterized. The record is from RefSeq and is a predicted model, not a curated record. The transcript is spliced from 4 exons. NCBI's taxonomy places the organism in Eukaryota, Metazoa, Chordata, Actinopteri, Cypriniformes, Cyprinidae.
CGGGUGUAUGCCAUCAGGAGUCUGAACUCCAGACUGUCCGCCCCAGACGUCUGGACGUCACCGUUACUGUGCUGCUGAUCCCUGGCCUUUACCUGGUAAUGCACUCUGUGACCAGUAGAGGGCACCUGAUGCAAAUCCUGCCAACAACAGACACAAAUUGUCUGACAGGAACAUCAUGGGAAGUGCUUACCUCCUGCAGUCUGUCAAUGUACAGUCGACAGGUUUCCAGGUCACAGUCUCCUCUCACCACCACGAUGCCAACAGGAGUAGCUGAACAAGCAAACACACAGAGAUGAUGCGGUUCACUCGCAGACGCAGGCGUUCAGGGACGGCAUGAGGGCUGCGAUACGCAGAUGACAACAAAUGAGAACUGACUGCACAUUUAUGAAAUAUUUAAUUAACAAAACGUAAUGCUCACAGGAACUGC